Molecule: ribosomal RNA, 720 nt
Filed under: Triticum aestivum (bread wheat)
Lineage: Eukaryota; Viridiplantae; Streptophyta; Magnoliopsida; Poales; Poaceae
Description: partial small subunit ribosomal RNA
Source: RNAcentral
AUGCGCUCCGGGGUUCAAACUGGGCGCAGCAGCCUCAAUUACACUUCUCCCAACCGCACCCAUGUUAGCUGGCAAGUCAAUCAGAUCCUUCAAAUGCCCUUCAGCGACAACUCCAGCUUUCACCAGGAAAUCCUCAAGUGUCAUCUCCCCAAAGGUCGGCUGCCUCUCCCGCCUCCGCUGACUACCCUCCUCACCACUUCUCUUCGGCGAAUCUUGGAUGCCCUUCCACACCUCGUCCACCGUCUUCUUGCUCAGCUCCGGAGGCAUUGUGAUGCUCCCCUGGCGAUGCAGGCCCAGGGCCGGCUCAGACUGGCCGGCGACGCCACCGACAGGAUCCACGCCGUCCGGAAACACGCUCUUGAGCAGCUCGUCGAGGUUCAUACUAAGCAAAGGCUCUGUCAGCUGGCUCUGCACCUCAUCGAGGGUAAGGCUGUACAGGGAACCUUGCCUCGCCAGGCCCUGCGCCUGCCCAUGCUGCCCUGGGCCGGCAUAGCCGCCGCCACCGCCGCCUCCUGCCUGCGACUGCGACGCCAUUGCCUGAAUCAUGAACAAGCGCUCUCUUGGACUGGUCGCCCCUAUGGGGACAAACACCUAGGGAACAACGGUGUCCAAAGCAGCCCCCUUUCCUCCGGCAAAGACCCGGUCACAAGUCGCCGAGCCACAGAUCCACGAGACCGCGCACAGCACGCGCCGGCGAACGAACCUCCUAUGAGACAGUAG